GUCCUGCUCAGGAACCGAGCCCUCUGAGCCUUUGAAAAUAGCUGAUCAUAAGUACGGGUGCUUCAGGUUACAGCUCUUCUCUCCAGCGAUUUCUGGAGGCUGAAAGUCAGACAAGACUCCAGCUGUGCAGAUGUCUCACCAUCUCCCCAUGGUUUUGGGGCAGCUGUGGCAGGUGCUGUUCCAGAACAGUCUCAGGAGUUGUCCAGGGUCAGCAGCAGCUGAGUCAGCUCUCAGUAGCUGGAGAUUGUGAUGAUUUGCUCAUUGGAACACCAAAAGGGACAGAUGAUUUUUGGAGCACAUUAUAUCCAUGUUAAUGAAAAUUUGCUUGAAUUCCCCAGAAGAUUUGCAUUGAUUUUUGGGUUGGAGAGAGGCAGGGAAAGCAACAGCAUCAACAAGGAG
Long non-coding RNA from Passer domesticus (house sparrow), 399 nucleotides. RefSeq lists it as uncharacterized. NCBI's taxonomy places the organism in Eukaryota, Metazoa, Chordata, Aves, Passeriformes, Passeridae. The transcript has 3 exons. The record is from RefSeq and is a predicted model, not a curated record.